GCACAAGCGGUGGAGCAUGUUGGUUUAAUUCGACGCAACGCGAAGAACCUUACCAGGGCUUGACACUCCCCUGACCGCGUAUGAAAGUACGUUUUCACCCUCGGGUGACAGGGAGACAGGUGGUGCAUGGUUGUCGUCAGCUCGUGUCGUGAGAUGUUGGGUUAAGUCCCGCAACGAGCGCAACCCUUGUCCUUAGUUGCCACCAUUCAGUUGGGCACUCUAAGGAGACUGCCGGUGUUAAACCGGAGGAAGGUGGGGAUGACGUCAAGUCCUCAUGGCCCUUAUAUCCAGGGCUACACACGUGCUACAAUGGCCGGUACAAAGGGUCGCAAUACCGCAAGGUGGAGCUAAUCCCAAAAAGCCGGUCUCAGUUCGGAUUGGAGUCUGCAACUCGACUCCAUGAAGUUGGAAUCGCUAGUAAUCGCGGAUCAGCACGCCGCGGUGAAUACGUUCCCGGGCCUU
RNAcentral lists this ribosomal RNA (462 nucleotides) under uncultured Geothermobacter sp. RNAcentral describes it as "bacterial SSU rRNA". It matches the Rfam family "Bacterial small subunit ribosomal RNA", at positions 923 to 1382 of the family's 1533-position model. The record is from RNAcentral. Lineage: Bacteria; Pseudomonadati; Thermodesulfobacteriota; Desulfuromonadia; Desulfuromonadales; Geothermobacteraceae.